Molecule: long non-coding RNA, 1373 nt
Organism: Cyprinus carpio (common carp)
Lineage: Eukaryota; Metazoa; Chordata; Actinopteri; Cypriniformes; Cyprinidae
Exons: 2
Source: RefSeq, a predicted model, not a curated record
UUACCACCCGCGACAGCGACACGUGACACGUGACAAUAGCGACACGGAAUUCUAUUUUAGAAAUGCUUUUUAUUUUCUGCGACGUCGCGGAAGGAACAACAUACAAAAAAAAUGACAGUGAUAAUCUCAGCAUCCAUAGAGAUGGUAUCACUCACUCACUAGACUGGACGGGGAUAAAGCGAAGAGGAGCGCGUGCUUUCUUUGAAGAUAUCGAUCCGACACGGCUUAUUCCUUUCCCUAGAUCCCAGGGAUGGGGUCUUGUUUUCUGGAAACGGGGAAGUGUUUUACAUUUUAAUUAUUUCCAUGUGUGGUGUGUAUGUUGUUGUUGUGAUUUUUAAAGAUUAUAUAAGAGAUAGCCUUUACGGAUAAAGAAUUACGGAUACGGUACAAAAUAGUACGGUUUAAAAAGAUUACAGAUAUUGAUUAGAUGUCAUUUUCAAAAUGUUCUCCGCAUAUUACAAGAGCUUGUCACCCUGCGAUAAGCACAACGUUAAAGAUCCGAAACAGGGAUGACGUAUUUCUGUGGGCGGAGCCUAUCUAACGGCAGAAAAUAACGGUUUUCAAGUGGCAGUCUAUGGAGCCAAGUAAGAAAACAAUUAAAAAAAGGUAAAUUUGAUUUUAUAUUUUAAAAUUCUGACUUUAUUCUCGUAGCUCCGAGAUUAUAACUUGUCACAAUUCGUCACUCUCUCUUUUCCCCUCGGCUUUUCUGGCUUUUUUCCCCCCUCAGAAUUGACAAACUCACUAUUUUUGAGUUAAGUCGAGUUAUAAAGUCCGAAUUAGGAUAUAUAAACUUGCAUUUGGGAUAAAAAAAAAAAAAAAAGUCAGAAUUGUGAGAUAAAAUAAAUGUUAUGUAAAAAUGUUAAUAGUGAGGUUUAAAUGAGUAUUAGGAUAACUUAUAUGAACGCAGAUGAGAUUGAGGGAGACGUUAAUUUUGUUUUGAUUUAAUAAUUUACUUACAAUAACAAUUUAAAAUGUAUUAACUUUUACAUAUUAAUUACAUUGACUACAUACACCCCACUGACUCCAAUAGUGUAGCUAUUUUUUAUGUAUUUAUUUGUUUUAUUUAUUAAUUUUUAAAACUGGGGUCCAGUGAGGUCUUAAUGUGGCACUGAUAAUGUGUAUUCUCAAAUUCAAAAUGAAAAAGUACUGUAUUUUAUAAUUAAAAUGAUGAAAUCGUGAAAGUAAUACUUUGACCUUCAUUAAUGAGUUAUUAAUAACAUUAAUUAUUAAUUUAAUACACACACAUAUAUAACAUUUCAUAAUGUGUAUCCUUGGAAAUGAAAAUUUGUGUAGCCUUACACAAAUAGAAAAUAGAACAGUAAGCAUGAACUAGCAUGAUCAGCUGUAAUAAUAAACUAAAAUUAUAAAUAUAU